Molecule: transfer RNA, 70 nt
Filed under: Uvarovistia satunini
Lineage: Eukaryota; Metazoa; Arthropoda; Insecta; Orthoptera; Tettigoniidae
Description: tRNA-Val
Rfam family: tRNA
About the family: Transfer RNA (tRNA) molecules are approximately 80 nucleotides in length. Their secondary structure includes four short double-helical elements and three loops (D, anti-codon, and T loops).
Source: RNAcentral
CAAAAUAAAGCUUAAAGUGAAGCAUUUCACUUACACUGAAAGGAUGUUCGUGCAAUUCGAAUUAUUUUGA